GAUUGAACGCUGGCGGCAGGCCUAACACAUGCAAGUCGAGCGGUAGAGAGGUGCUUGCACCUCUUGAGAGCGGCGGACGGGUGAGUAAUGCCUAGGAAUCUGCCUGGUAGUGGGGGAUAACGCUCGGAAACGGACGCUAAUACCGCAUACGUCCUACGGGAGAAAGCAGGGGACCUUCGGGCCUUGCGCUAUCAGAUGAGCCUAGGUCGGAUUAGCUAGUUGGUGGGGUAAUGGCUCACCAAGGCGACGAUCCGUAACUGGUCUGAGAGGAUGAUCAGUCACACUGGAACUGAGACACGGUCCAGACUCCUACGGGAGGCAGCAGUGGGGAAUAUUGGACAAUGGGCGAAAGCCUGAUCCAGCCAUGCCGCGUGUGUGAAGAAGGUCUUCGGAUUGUAAAGCACUUUAAGUUGGGAGGAAGGGCAUUAACCUAAUACGUUAGUGUUUGA
This 449-nucleotide ribosomal RNA is filed under the name Pseudomonas sp. Its description in RNAcentral is "bacterial SSU rRNA". It matches the Rfam family "Bacterial small subunit ribosomal RNA", at positions 27 to 472 of the family's 1533-position model. Lineage: Bacteria; Pseudomonadati; Pseudomonadota; Gammaproteobacteria; Pseudomonadales; Pseudomonadaceae. The record is from RNAcentral.